This 640-nucleotide ribosomal RNA is filed under the name uncultured bacterium. Its description in RNAcentral is "bacterial SSU rRNA". It matches the Rfam family "Bacterial small subunit ribosomal RNA", at positions 135 to 809 of the family's 1533-position model. The record is from RNAcentral.
AGUGGGGGACAACAGUUGGAAACGACUGCUAAUACCGCAUAAUCCCUGAGGGGGAAAGAUUUAUCGCUUUAAGAUUGGCCCGCGGAAGAUUAGGUAGUUGGUGGGGUAAAGGCCUACCAAGCCGACGAUCUAUAGCUGGUCUGAGAGGACGAACAGCCACAUUGGAACUGAGACACGGUCCAGACUCCUACGGGAGGCAGCAGUGAGGAAUAUUGGGCAAUGGAGGAAACUCUGACCCAGCCAUGCCGCGUGAGUGAAGAAGGUUUUCGAAUUGUAAAGCUCUUUCGGAUGGGACGAUGAUGACGGUACCAUCUAAAGAAGCCCCGGCAAACUUCGUGCCAGCAGCCGCGGUAAUACGAAGGGGGCAAGCGUUGUUCGGAAUUACUGGGCGUAAAGGGUGUGUAGGCGGAUUUGUAAGAUAGUGGUGAAAUACCUGAGCUCAACUUAGGAAUUGCCAUUAUAACUAUAGAUCUGGAGUGACAGAGAGGAUAUUGGAAUACCCAGUGUAGAGGUGAAAUUUGUAGAUAUUGGGUAGAACACCAGUGGCGAAGGCGAGUAUCUGGCUGUCGACUGACGCUGAGGCACGAAAGCAUGGGGAUCAAACAGGAUUAGAUACCCUGGUAGUCCAUGCUGUAAACGA